GUGAGCAUAGCUCAGUUGGUAGAACAAUGCAUUAUUAUAUGCAGGGGUCGGAGUUCGAAUCCCGAACAUCCUAUA
Molecule: transfer RNA, 75 nt
Filed under: Medicago truncatula (barrel medic)
Lineage: Eukaryota; Viridiplantae; Streptophyta; Magnoliopsida; Fabales; Fabaceae
Description: tRNA-OTHER
Source: RNAcentral